CAGGCUGUACUGUGCUGUUGCAGU
RNAcentral lists this microRNA (24 nucleotides) under Salmo salar (Atlantic salmon). Its description in RNAcentral is "ssa-miR-15e-3p". Its record names the gene ssa-miR-15e-3p. The record is from miRBase by way of RNAcentral. Lineage: Eukaryota; Metazoa; Chordata; Actinopteri; Salmoniformes; Salmonidae.